This 440-nucleotide ribosomal RNA is filed under the name uncultured bacterium. RNAcentral's name for it is "partial 16S ribosomal RNA". It matches the Rfam family "Bacterial small subunit ribosomal RNA", at positions 338 to 795 of the family's 1533-position model. The record is from RNAcentral.
CCUACGGGAGGCAGCAGUGGGGAAUAUUGCACAAUGGAGGAAACCCUGAUGCAGCGACGCCGCGUGAGUGAAGAAGUAAUUCGUUAUGUAAAGCUCUAUCAGCAGGGAAGAAAAUGACGGUACCUGAGUAAGACGCACCGGCUAACUACGUGCCAGCAGCCGCGGUAAUACGUAGGUGGCAAGCGUUAUCCGGAUGUACAGGGUGUAAAGGGCGCGUAGACGGCAGUGCAAGUCAGGGGUGAAAGGCGGGGUCUCAACCCUCGGACUGCUCUGGAAACUGUACAGCUGGAGUGCAGGAGAGGUAAGUGGAAUUCCAAGUGUAGCGGUGAAAUGCGUAGAUAUUAGGAGGAACACCAGUGGCGAAGGCGGCUUACUGGACUGUAACUGACGUUGAGGCUCGAAAGCGUGGGGAGCAAACAGGAUUAGAUACCCUUGUAGUC